GACGAACGCUGGCGGCGUGCUUAACACAUGCAAGUCGAACGGAAAGGCCCCCUUGUGGGGUACUCGAGUGGCGAACGGGUGAGUAACACGUGAGUAACCUACCCUUGACUUUGGGAUAACUUCAGGAAACUGGGGCUAAUACCGGAUAGGAGCUCCUGCUGCAUGGUGGGGGUUGGAAAGUUUCGGCGGUUGGGGAUGGACUCGCGGCUUAUCAGCUUGUUGGUGGGGUAGUGGCUCACCAAGGCUUUGACGGGUAGCCGGCCUGAGAGGGUGACCGGCCACAUAGGGACUGAGAUACGGCCCAGACUCCUACGGGAGGCAGCAGUGGGGAAUAUUGCACAAUGGGCGGAAGCCUGAUGCAGCAACGCCGCGUGCGGGAUGACGGCCUUCGGGUUGUAAACCGCUUUCGCCUGUGGCGAAGCGUGAGUGACGGUAAUGGGUAAAGAAGCACCGGCUAACUACGUG
RNAcentral lists this ribosomal RNA (465 nucleotides) under uncultured bacterium. Its description in RNAcentral is "partial 16S ribosomal RNA". It matches the Rfam family "Bacterial small subunit ribosomal RNA", at positions 28 to 507 of the family's 1533-position model. The record is from RNAcentral.